AUUGAACGCUGGCGGCAUGCCUUACACAUGCAAGUCGAACGGUAACGGGCCUUCGGGUGCCGACGAGUGGCGAACGGGUGAGUAAUGCAUCGGAACGUACCUUUCAGUGGGGGAUAACGUAGCGAAAGUUACGCUAAUACCGCAUAUUCUGUGAGCAGGAAAGCAGGGGAUCGCAAGACCUUGCGCUGAUUGAGCGGCCGAUGUCAGAUUAGCUAGUUGGUGAGGUAAAGGCUCACCAAGGCGACGAUCUGUAGCGGGUCUGAGAGGAUGAUCCGCCACACUGGAACUGAGACACGGUCCAGACUCCUACGGGAGGCAGCAGUGGGGAAUUUUGGACAAUGGGCGCAAGCCUGAUCCAGCCAUGCCGCGUGAGUGAAGAAGGCCU
RNAcentral lists this ribosomal RNA (385 nucleotides) under uncultured bacterium. RNAcentral's name for it is "bacterial SSU rRNA". It matches the Rfam family "Bacterial small subunit ribosomal RNA", at positions 30 to 417 of the family's 1533-position model. The record is from RNAcentral.